UCCGGCAACAUGGUACGGCGUCAGCUGACCCAGCCGCUCAAGAACGCGCACAUUUCACCAACGCAACGGGCCACGACACCGCAGUUACGAUGCCACGCUCACCGCUGAUGCUCUUCCAGGCAUUCCUGUCCGACGCGUACACCUGGAGACAAACCUCAGGCAAGUGCUUCAUCGCUUCCAACCAAGACAUUCAUCGAUCAUGGCGGACCGCAUGGCCAGCUCUUACCUCGGACGAAUCGGCGCAUGUGUAUCGGACAACAUUUAUCGGAGCGGCGACAACACACAGCAUCGGCUACGUAAAUCGAGCCACCGCGCGCGCACGACAAAGCCAGCAUGAAUGAAGGCGCCUCAACCUCUUCUGUUUUUGCAGGGCUCGCAGAAGUCCUCACUAGGAAGGAGCAGCAGUGGGAGCGAAGACGAAACGCAAUUUAAUUCCAACUUACAAACCAACGUGGACUGCUUGGCAGAUGCAAGGACAGAGCUACUUUACCAACUUGUCCGCUACACUGCCGAACUGUCACCGCGCGCUGUCCGACCCCGGCGGAAAACACGCCUCAGGUGGACACAAGACCGGCCUUCCGUGCCGUUCACAGUGCUACAACCGCAGUUGGUGCAGACAUACACCGAUGCACGGGCGUGGCAGGUGGCACUUGGUAACCCCGAAGCUGCGCCUCUCGACUUGUGUAGAGGCUUUGUUGUGUUACAACAAGAUCUGAGCCGGUUCACGAGGCGCGUGUGUGUGUUUGUGUGUGCAAUCACUACAGCACGCGCUGCUGAGCUGGCCGUGCUCCCAUUCGUCAAAGGAAAAGAGGAAGUGAAGCGAAUUUUGCGUGACAUUAUAGCGUGACGAGGUUCUGGGACUGAACUAAGCUGUUUGUGGAUUAUCUGCCACGCUAGUUUAUUCUCGUUAAGCGCCAACGUUGCUGAUCUCUAG
Molecule: RNA transcript, 934 nt
Organism: Dermacentor albipictus
Lineage: Eukaryota; Metazoa; Arthropoda; Arachnida; Ixodida; Ixodidae
Source: RefSeq, a predicted model, not a curated record